UACGGGGGGGGCAAGCGUUGUUCGGAAUUACUGGGCGUAAAGGGCGCGUAGGCGGUUCGUUAAGUCCUGUGUGAAAUCCCCCGGCUCAACUGGGGAACUGCACAGGAAACUAGCGGGCUUGAGUUCGGGAGAGGGAAGCGGAAUUCCCGGUGUAGAGGUGAAAUUCGUAGAUAUCGGGAGGAACACCGGUGGCGAAGGCGGCGAUCUGGGUAGAUACUGACGCUGAGGUGCGAAAGCGUGGGGAGCAAACAGG
This 253-nucleotide ribosomal RNA is filed under the name uncultured bacterium. RNAcentral's name for it is "partial 16S ribosomal RNA". It matches the Rfam family "Bacterial small subunit ribosomal RNA", at positions 524 to 776 of the family's 1533-position model. The record is from RNAcentral.